Molecule: non-coding RNA, 129 nt
Filed under: Paenibacillus wynnii
Lineage: Bacteria; Bacillati; Bacillota; Bacilli; Caryophanales; Paenibacillaceae
Description: SAM-I sequence
Rfam family: SAM riboswitch aptamer (S box leader)
About the family: The SAM riboswitch is found upstream of a number of genes which code for proteins involved in methionine or cysteine biosynthesis in Gram-positive bacteria. The SAM riboswitch acts at the level of transcription termination control.
Source: Rfam by way of RNAcentral
AUCUUAUCAAGAGCAGGUGGAGGGACUAGCCCGAUGAAACCCGGCAACCGGCGUGUAAACGCACGGUGCUAAUUCUUGCGGAAACUUGUGUGGCGCAUGCGUCAGGCAGGUUAUUCUGGCAGAUGAGAG